UAGGGAAUCUUCCGCAAUGGACGAAAGUCUGACGGAGCAACGCCGCGUGAGUGAUGAAGGCUUUCGGGUCGUAAAACUCUGUUGUUAGGGAAGAACAAGUGCUAGUUGAAUAAGCUGGCACCUUGACGGUACCUAACCAGAAAGCCACGGCUAACUACGUGCCAGCAGCCGCGGUAAUACGUAGGUGGCAAGCGUUAUCUGGAAUUAUUGGGCGUAAAGCGCGCGCAGGUGGUUUCUUAAGUCUGAUGUGAAAGCCCACGGCUCAACCGUGGAGGGUCAUUGGAAACUGGGAGACUUGAGUGCAGAAGAGGAAAGUGGAAUUCCAUGUGUAGCGGUGAAAUGCGUAGAGAUAUGGAGGAACACCAGUGGCGAAGGCGACUUUCUGGUCUGUAACUGACACUGAGGCGCGAAAGCGUGGGGAGCAAACA
This 428-nucleotide ribosomal RNA is filed under the name uncultured bacterium. RNAcentral describes it as "bacterial SSU rRNA". It matches the Rfam family "Bacterial small subunit ribosomal RNA", at positions 355 to 774 of the family's 1533-position model. The record is from RNAcentral.